This 1246-nucleotide ribosomal RNA is filed under the name metagenome. RNAcentral describes it as "bacterial LSU rRNA". It matches the Rfam family "Bacterial large subunit ribosomal RNA", at positions 1696 to 2925 of the family's 2925-position model. The record is from RNAcentral.
AAACCCUGGUUAAGGAACUCUGCAAAUUGACACCGUAACUUCGGGAGAAGGUGUGCCGCUGGCGGUUAGUGACUUCGCGUCACGAAGCUGUUGGUGGUCGCAGUGAAAUGGCGGUUGUGACUGUUUACUAAAAACACAGGACUCUGCGAAGUCGUAAGACGACGUAUAGGGUCUGAUGCCUGCCCGGUGCUGGAAGGUUAAGGGGAUAUGUCAGCGCAAGCGAAGCAUUGAACCGAAGCCCCAGUAAACGGCGGCCGUAACAAUAACGGUCCUAAGGUAGCGAAAUUCCUUGUCGGGUAAGUUCUGACCUGCACGAGGGCAUAACAACAUCCGCACUGUCUCGACCAGGGACUCAGCGAAAUUACAUUGGGGGUGAAGAUGCCCUCUACCCGCGGAAAGACGGAAAGACCCCAUGAACCUUUACUGCAACUUGGCAGUGAUUUUCGGGUUGUUCUGCGUAGGAUAGGUGGGAGGCUUUGAAGCCGGGCUUCCGGGUUCGGCAGAGCCAACGCUGAAAUACCACCCUGAAUAAUCUGGAAAUCUAACCUGCGCCCAUGAUCUGGGCGAGGGACACUGCCUGGUGGGCAGUUUGACUGGGGCGGUCGCCUCCUAAAUUGUAACGGAGGCGUGCGACGGUUCCCUCAGGCUGAUUGGAAACCAGCCGUAGAGUGCAAACGCAUAAGGGAGCUUUACUGCGAGACUGACAAGUCGACCAGUUGCGAAAGCAGGUGUUAGUGAUCCGGUGGUACCACAUGGAAGGGCCAUCGCUCAUCGGAUAAAAGGUACUCUGGGGAUAACAGGCUGAUCGCGCCUGAGAGUUCACAUCGGCGGCGCGGUUUGGCACCUCGAUGUCGGCUCAUCGCAUCCUGGGGCUGGAGCAGGUCCCAAGGAUUUGGCUGUUCGCCAAUUAAAGCGGUACGCGAGCUGGGUUUAAAACGUCGUGAGACAGUUUGGUCCCUAUCUUCCGUGGGCGCAGGACACUUGAGAGGGGCUAUCCAUAGUACGAGAGGACCUGGAUGGACGAACCUCUGGUGCUCCGGUUGUCACGCCAGUGGCAUAGCCGGGUAGCCAUGUUCGGAACAGAUAACCGCUGAAGGCAUAUAAGCGGGAAGCUGGCCUCAAGACUAGGUGUCCCUGACGCAAGUCACUAAAGGCCCCUCGAAGACUACGAGGUUGAUAGGCUCGGUGUGGAAGCACAGCGAUGUGCGGAGCUAACGAGUACUAAUAGGCCGUGCGGCUUGACCUC